GAUGAAGAAGAAUCAUAGCCUCUUUGUAUCUCCGCCUCCAUUCUUCGAUUUGCUUCCCUGCAAUUCCUACGCUCUCCUUUUCUUUCCAAUUUGAAGCUGGCGCGUGCUGGAGCAGGAGGCGCUUUUCCCGCCAUAUCCAUAUGGAUUUGAUCUGAAACUGAGCCCACCGAUUAACUCGGGAGAGGCAUCUACAUAGUUGCUUCUUUCUUUUCCUCUUGUACUGAAUAAAUAUAAUUGCCCUUAUUUUUUAACACCACAAUCUGGAUUAGCAUAUUAAUUAUUUUAGCUUUUUAAAAUCUCGAGAGCAAAA
Molecule: long non-coding RNA, 310 nt
Organism: Cucurbita pepo subsp. pepo (vegetable marrow)
Lineage: Eukaryota; Viridiplantae; Streptophyta; Magnoliopsida; Cucurbitales; Cucurbitaceae
Source: RefSeq, a predicted model, not a curated record